GCUUGGGUGGCUCAGUGGGUUAAGCAUCUGACUUCAGCUCAGGUCAGGAUCUCACACAGUCUGUGAGUUCAAGCCCCACAUUAGGCU
RNAcentral lists this transfer RNA (87 nucleotides) under Felis catus (domestic cat). It matches the Rfam family "tRNA". From Rfam's summary of the family: Transfer RNA (tRNA) molecules are approximately 80 nucleotides in length. Their secondary structure includes four short double-helical elements and three loops (D, anti-codon, and T loops). Further hydrogen bonds mediate the characteristic L-shaped molecular structure. tRNAs have two regions of fundamental functional importance: the anti-codon, which is responsible for specific mRNA codon recognition, and the 3' end, to which the tRNAs corresponding amino acid is attached (by aminoacyl-tRNA synthetases). tRNAs cope with the degeneracy of the genetic code in two manners: having more than one tRNA (with a specific anti-codon) for a particular amino acid; and 'wobble' base-pairing, i.e. permitting non-standard base-pairing at the 3rd anti-codon position. The record is from Rfam by way of RNAcentral. Lineage: Eukaryota; Metazoa; Chordata; Mammalia; Carnivora; Felidae.